GUGCAUUAACGUGAUUUACCGCUGACCACGAUUGUCAGAUGAGGCGCAUGCUCUCCCCAGUCUCUCUGCGGCAGUUAGGUCAAACUGAAAGCAUGGCGGACGAAGGUGAGUUCAAGAAGAACCAGAAGAUUAUGGCAGCAAAGAGGACAAGAAAAAGAGAACGAAACAAACUUGGAAAGGGUAAAGACCGGCUCUCGUACCUGAAAAAUUAACAAUUCAGCGAUUAUCGAAUAUCAGCUCAAGUUAAAGGAUCUUCCCAAAAGUAUGCCAGAAUGGGGCCUUUAGUGUGACUAUAUAUUGUUUGUG
Non-coding RNA from Paramuricea clavata, 306 nucleotides. The record is from the annotation of a GenBank genome assembly. Lineage: Eukaryota; Metazoa; Cnidaria; Anthozoa; Malacalcyonacea; Plexauridae.